AUGCAGUCGAGCGGGGAAAGGUAGCUUGCUACUGGACCUAGCGGCGGACGGGUGAGUAAUGCUUAGGAAUCUGCCUAUUGGUGGGGGACAACAUCUCGAAAGGGAUGCUAAUACCGCAUACGUCCUACGGGAGAAAGCAGGGGAUCUUCGGACCUUGCGCUAAUAGAUGAGCCUAAGUCGGAUUAGCUAGUUGGUGGGGUAAAGGCCUACCAAGGCGACGAUCUGUAGCGGGUCUGAGAGGAUGAUCCGCCACACUGGGACUGAGACACGGCCCAGACUCCUACGGGAGGCAGCAGUGGGGAAUAUUGGACAAUGGGCGCAAGCCUGAUCCAGCCAUGCCGCGUGUGUGAAGAAGGCCUUAUGGUUGUAAAGCACUUUAAGCGAGGAGGAGGCUACUUUAGAUAAUACCUAGAGAUAGUGGACGUUACUCGCAGAAUAAGCACCGGCUAACUCUGUGCCAGCAGCCGCGGUAAUACAGAGGGUGCAAGCGUUAAUCGGAUUUACUGGGCGUAAAGCGCGCGUAGGCGGCUAAUUAAGUCAAAUGUGAAAUCCCCGAGCUUAACUUGGGAAUUGCAUUCGAUACUGGUUAGCUAGAGUGUGGGAGAGGAUGGUAGAAUUCCAGGUGUAGCGGUGAAAUGCGUAGAGAUCUGGAGGAAUACCGAUGGCGAAGGCAGCCAUCUGGCCUAACACUGACGCUGAGGUGCGAAAGCAUGGGGAGCAAACAGGAUUAGAUACCCUGGUAGUCCAUGCCGUAAAACGAUGUCUACUAGCCGUUGGGGCCUUUGAGGCUUUAGUGGCGC
Molecule: ribosomal RNA, 800 nt
Filed under: Acinetobacter calcoaceticus
Lineage: Bacteria; Pseudomonadati; Pseudomonadota; Gammaproteobacteria; Moraxellales; Moraxellaceae
Description: bacterial SSU rRNA
Rfam family: Bacterial small subunit ribosomal RNA
Source: RNAcentral